GGGUUGUGAGGUUAAGCGACUAAGCGUACACGGUGGAUGCCCUGGCAGUCAGAGGCGAUGAAGGACGUGCUAAUCUGCGAUAAGCGUCGGUGAGGUGAUAUGAACCGUUAUAACCGGCGAUUUCCGAAUGGGGAAACCCAGUGUGUUUCGACACACUAUCAUUAACUGAAUCCAUAGGUUAAUGAGGCGRACCGGGGGAACUGAAACAUCUAAGUACCCCGAGGAAAAGAAAUCAACCGAGAUUCCCCCAGUAGCGGCGAGCGAACGGGGAGGAGCCCAGAGCCUGAAUCAGUGUGUGUGUUAGUGGAAGCGUCUGGAAAGGCGCGCGAUACAGGGUGACAGCCCCGUACACAAAAAURCACAUAUUGUGAGCUCGAUGAGUAGGGCGGGACACGUGGUAUCCUGUCUGAAUAUGGGGGGACCAUCCUCCAAGGCUAAAUACUCCUGACUGACCGAUAGUGAACCAGUACCGUGAGGGAAAGGCGAAAAGAACCCCGGCGAGGGGAGUGAAAAAGAACCUGAAACCGUGUACGUACAAGCAGUGGGAGCCUCUUUAUGGGGUGACUGCGUACCUUUUGUAUAAUGGGUCAGCGACUUAUAUUCUGUAGCAAGGUUAACCGAAUAGGGGAGCCGAAGGGAAACCGAGUCUUAACUGGGCGUUAAGUUGCAGGGUAUAGACCCGAAACCCGGUGAUCUAGCCAUGGGCAGGUUGAAGGUUGGGUAACACUAACUGGAGGACCGAACCGACUAAUGUUGAAAAAUUAGCGGAUGACUUGUGGCUGGGGGUGAAAGGCCAAUCAAACCGGGAGAUAGCUGGUUCUCCCCGAAAGCUAUUUAGGUAGCGCCUCGUGAAUUCAUCUCCGGGGGUAGAGCACUGUUUCGGCAAGGGGGUCAUCCCGACUUACCAACCCGAUGCAAACUGCGAAUACCGGAGAAUGUUAUCACGGGAGACACACGGCGGGUGCUAACGUCCGUCGUGAAGAGGGAAACAACCCAGACCGCCAGCUAAGGUCCCAAAGUCAUGGUUAAGUGGGAAACGAUGUGGGAAGGCCCAGACAGCCAGGAUGUUGGCUUAGAAGCAGCCAUCAUUUAAAGAAAGCGUAAUAGCUCACUGGUCGAGUCGGCCUGCGCGGAAGAUGUAACGGGGCUAAACCAUGCACCGAAGCUGCGGCAGCGACACUAUGUGUUGUUGGGUAGGGGAGCGUUCUGUAAGCCUGUGAAGGUGGCCUGUGAGGGUUGCUGGAGGUAUCAGAAGUGCGAAUGCUGACAUAAGUAACGAUAAAGCGGGUGAAAAGCCCGCUCGCCGGAAGACCAAGGGUUCCUGUCCAACGUUAAUCGGGGCAGGGUGAGUCGACCCCUAAGGCGAGGCCGAAAGGCGUAGUCGAUGGGAAACAGGUUAAUAUUCCUGUACUUGGUGUUACUGCGAAGGGGGGACGGAGAAGGCUAUGUUGGCCGGGCGACGGUUGUCCCGGUUUAAGCGUGUAGGCUGGUUUUCCAGGCAAAUCCGGAAAACCAAGGCUGAGGCGUGAUGACGAGGCACUACGGUGCUGAAGCGACAAAUGCCCUGCUUCCAGGAAAAGCCUCUAAGCAUCAGGUAACAUCAAAUCGUACCCCAAACCGACACAGGUGGUCAGGUAGAGAAUACCAAGGCGCUUGAGAGAACUCGGGUGAAGGAACUAGGCAAAAUGGUGCCGUAACUUCGGGAGAAGGCACGCUGAUAUGUAGGUGAAGCGACUUGCUCGUGGAGCUGAAAUCAGUCGAAGAUACCAGCUGGCUGCAACUGUUUAUUAAAAACACAGCACUGUGCAAACACGAAAGUGGACGUAUACGGUGUGACGCCUGCCCGGUGCCGGAAGGUUAAUUGAUGGGGUUAGCGGUAACGCGAAGCUCUUGAUCGAAGCCCCGGUAAACGGCGGCCGUAACUAUAACGGUCCUAAGGUAGCGAAAUUCCUUGUCGGGUAAGUUCCGACCUGCACGAAUGGCGUAAUGAUGGCCAGGCUGUCUCCACCCGAGACUCAGUGAAAUUGAACUCGCUGUGAAGAUGCAGUGUACCCGCGGCAAGACGGAAAGACCCCGUGAACCUUUACUAUAGCUUGACACUGAACAUUGAGCCUUGAUGUGUAGGAUAGGUGGGAGGCUUUGAAGUGUGGACGCCAGUCUGCAUGGAGCCGACCUUGAAAUACCACCCUUUAAUGUUUGAUGUUCUAACGUUGGCCCGUAAUCCGGGUUGCGGACAGUGUCUGGUGGGUAGUUUGACUGGGGCGGUCUCCUCCUAAAGAGUAACGGAGGAGCACGAAGGUUGGCUAAUCCUGGUCGGACAUCAGGAGGUUAGUGCAAUGGCAUAAGCCAGCUUGACUGCGAGCGUGACGGCGCGAGCAGGUGCGAAAGCAGGUCAUAGUGAUCCGGUGGUUCUGAAUGGAAGGGCCAUCGCUCAACGGAUAAAAGGUACUCCGGGGAUAACAGGCUGAUACCGCCCAAGAGUUCAUAUCGACGGCGGUGUUUGGCACCUCGAUGUCGGCUCAUCACAUCCUGGGGCUGAAGUAGGUCCCAAGGGUAUGGCUGUUCGCCAUUUAAAGUGGUACGCGAGCUGGGUUUAGAACGUCGUGAGACAGUUCGGUCCCUAUCUGCCGUGGGCGCUGGAGAACUGAGGGGGGCUGCUCCUAGUACGAGAGGACCGGAGUGGACGCAUCACUGGUGUUCGGGUUGUCAUGCCAAUGGCACUGCCCGGUAGCUAAAUGCGGAAGAGAUAAGUGCUGAAAGCAUCUAAGCACGAAACUUGCCCCGAGAUGAGUUCUCCCUGACUCCUUGAGAGUCCUGAAGGAACGUUGAAGACGACGACGUUGAUAGGCCGGGUGUGUAAGCGCAGCGAUGCGUUGAGCUAACCGGUACUAAUGAACCGUGAGGCUUAACCUUACAACGCCGAAG
RNAcentral lists this ribosomal RNA (2925 nucleotides) under Escherichia coli. Its description in RNAcentral is "bacterial LSU rRNA". It matches the Rfam family "Bacterial large subunit ribosomal RNA". Lineage: Bacteria; Pseudomonadati; Pseudomonadota; Gammaproteobacteria; Enterobacterales; Enterobacteriaceae. The record is from RNAcentral.